AGUCGAACGGUAACAUGAGAGCUUGCUCUUGAUGACGAGUGGCGCACGGGUGCGUAACGCGUAUGCAACCUACCCUAUACAGGGGGAUAGCCCGGAGAAAUUCGGAUUAAUACCCCAUAAUAUUUUUGUAACACAUGUUAUAAUAAUUAAAGCUUCAGCGGUAUAGGAUGGGCAUGCGUCCCAUUAGUUAGUUGGUGAGGUAACGGCUCACCAAGACUUCGAUGGGUAGGGGUUCUGAGAGGAUUAUCCCCCACACUGGUACUGAGACACGGACCAGACUCCUACGGGAGGCAGCAGUGAGGAAUAUUGGGCAAUGGACGAGAGUCUGACCCAGCCAUGCCGCGUGCAGGAUGACGGCCCUAUGGGUUGUAAACUGCUUUUAUACAGGAAUAAACCUAUCUACGUGUAGAUAGCUGAAUGUACUGUACGAAUAAGGAUCGGCUAACUCCGUGCCAGCAGCCGCGGUAAUACGGAGGAUCCAAGCGUUAUCCGGAUUCAUUGGGUUUAAAGGGUCCGUAGGCGGAUUUUUAAGUCAGUGGUGAAAGCCCACAGCUCAACUGUGGAACUGCCAUUGAUACUGGAAGUCUUGAGUUUGGUUGAAGUUGGCGGAAUACGUCAUGUA
This 622-nucleotide ribosomal RNA is filed under the name uncultured Flavobacteriia bacterium. RNAcentral describes it as "bacterial SSU rRNA". It matches the Rfam family "Bacterial small subunit ribosomal RNA", at positions 60 to 677 of the family's 1533-position model. The record is from RNAcentral. Lineage: Bacteria; Pseudomonadati; Bacteroidota; Flavobacteriia.